RNAcentral lists this small RNA (568 nucleotides) under Pongo abelii (Sumatran orangutan). RNAcentral's name for it is "retained intron". Lineage: Eukaryota; Metazoa; Chordata; Mammalia; Primates; Hominidae. The record is from RNAcentral.
GCUGCUUCCCCUGCUGUUGCUCCUGGUCGGCGCGUGGCUCAAGCUAGGAAAUGGACAGGCUACUAGCAUGGUCCAACUGCAGGGUGGGAGAUUCCUGAUGGGAACAAAUUCUCCAGACAGCAGAGAUGGUGAAGGCCCUGUGCAGGAGGUGACAGUGAAACCCUUUGCCAUCGACAUAUUUCCUGUCACCAACAAAGAUUUCAGGGAUUUUGUCAGGGAGAAAAAGUAUCAGACAGAGGCUGAGAUGUUUGGAUGGAGCUUUGUCUUUGAGGACUUUGUCUCCGAUGAGCUGAGAAACAAAGCCACCCAGCCAAUGAAGCCUGUACUCUGGUGGCUUCCAGUGGAAAAGGCAUUUUGGAGGCAGCCUGCAGGUCCUGGCUCUGGCAUCCGAGAGAGACUGGAGCACCCAGUGUUACACGUGAGCUGGAAUGACGCCCGUGCCUACUGUGCUUGGCGGAGAAAACGGCUGCCCACGGAGGAAGAGUGGGAGUUUGCCGCCCGAGGGGGCUUGAAGGGUAUCCAGAUGAUAAGGCGAUUUUCCUUUAUUCUUCUCCCCAUCCUGCCCAGU